AUUGAACGCUGGCGGCAGGCCUAACACAUGCAAGUCGAGCGGAUGAAGGGAGCUUGCUCCUGGAUUCAGCGGAGGACGGGUGAGUAAUGCCUAGGAAUCUGCCUGGUAGUGGGGGAUAACGUCCGGAAACGGGCGCUAAUACCGCAUACGUCCUGAGGGAGAAAGUGGGGGAUCUUCGGACCUCACGCUAUCAGAUGAGCCUAGGUCGGAUUAGCUAGUUGGUGGGGUAAAGGCCUACCAAGGCGACGAUCCGUAACUGGUCUGAGAGGAUGAUCAGUCACACUGGAACUGAGACACGGUCCAGACUCCUACGGGAGGCAGCAGUGGGGAAUAUUGGACCAUGGGCGAAAGCCUGAUCCAGCCAUGCCGCGUGUGUGAAGAAGGUCUUCGGAUUGUAAAGCACUUUAAGUUGGGAGGAAGGGCAGUAAGUUAAUACCUUGCUGUUUUGACGUUACCAACAGAAUAAGCACCGGCUAACUUCGUG
Molecule: ribosomal RNA, 484 nt
Filed under: uncultured bacterium
Lineage: Bacteria
Description: partial 16S ribosomal RNA
Rfam family: Bacterial small subunit ribosomal RNA
Source: RNAcentral